GGACCAUUGCUCUUUAACAUUGUCUCGCUCCAAUUUAUAGGAGGGAGAAGAGGUUCUUUGAAAUAUGUAUGCCCGGUGUGAGAUUAAGAAACAACAGUUCACAUGUUGGUCCGACCAGUUUAUUACAAAUGUUAAUAAGGGAGAUGGGGAAAGGGGAGGACAGACACUAUUAAGGAUUGGGGUGAUGGGGAAGGGAAGGCGAGCGAUAGAAAAGAUAGAAAGAGGCAAGAAUUGCGUAAAGCAGGGAUAGUCACCACCAGGAUCCGGCAGCAGUCCCGUUGCACGACGUUCCGAUGGUCCGAGGCCGAAGGGCAGGAGCAGCGAGGCCGGUCUUGGGCAACGAGAGGGUGCAGGUCAGGGAGGAAGCAGCAGGUCUCAGGUAGCAGGCCCAGGGAAGUCCGUCAGCAAACGGUCCGUAGAGAAGGAUCUGAAGGCAGGAAGCUUGUGUCGUGGUGAGAGAUCAUGAGAGAUCAGCCUCUGUGUUGCGGUGAGAGAUCAGCCUCCACGUUGCAAUGAGAGAUCAGAUGGCAGAGAACCUCUCAAGUCUGUCGUGGUGAGAGAGAAGCCUCUACCGUUGCCGUGGUUGUGGUGAAGGAUCAGCUUCCACCGUUGUGGUUAUUGGACCCUCUUUUAUCCUCCAUUUUCUGCUGCCUACGUGACAUUCCUGGGUGCUUGAGCAAGAGUCCUGUGCAUACCUCCUGAGAUGGCCAUUUUCCUUGAGAUAAGUCCACACAAAAAGACCGUUUCCCGGCCAUUAGCAGCAGCUUAUCUCUCUCUCAAUGCCCCUGGCCUUGUCCAUCUGUGCUCCUUAGAGGAUUUCACAAUCCUUAGCCAGUACCUGUCCAUCAGUGUCCUCAAGACAAAAGAUUUCUCUGCCUUUGCCCAGGACUUGCCUGGACUUGUUCCUCAGCAAACUUUGAGUCAAUGAUAUAAAAGAAUAGUCUCUUACAGACUGCCACAAGUCCACGGGGCCCGAUGAGAUUCACUGAAGAGUGCUGAGGGAACUGGCGGAGGUGAUAGCUGAGCCACUUUCCAUCAUCUGUCAGUGCUCCUUGUUGACUGGAGAGGUCCCAGAAGACUGGAGGCUUGCCAAUGUGACUCCCAUCUACAAGAAGGACUACAGGGAGGAUCCGGGGAACUACAGGCCUGUUAGCCUGACCUCAGUGCCAGGGAAGAUUAUGGAGCAGACUGUCUUGAGGGAGAUCAAGCCAAGCCAGCAUGGGUUCACGAAGGGCAGGUCCUGCUUGACUGACCAACCUGAUCUCCUUCUAUGAUCUAGUGACCCGUCUGGUGGAUGAGGGAAAGGCUGUUGAUGUAGUCUACCUAGACUUCAGCAAAGCCUUGACACUGUUUCCCACAGUAUUCUCCUGCAGAAGUUGGCAGUCCGUGGCUUGGACAGCUACAUUCUUGGCUGGGUAAGGAAUUGGCUGGAGGGCUGAGCUCAGAGAGUGGCGGUGAAUGGAAUUAAAUCCAGCUAGCAACUAGUCACAAGUGGUGUUCCCCAGGGGUUGUGCUGGGGCCCAUUCUCUCCAAUAUCUUUAUUGAUGACCUGGAUGAGGGCACUGAGUGCACCCUCAGUAAGUUUGCAGAUGACAACAAGUUGGCUGGAAGUGUCAACCUGCCUGGGGGCAGUGAGGCCCUACAGAGGGAUCUGGACAGGCUGGAUGGCUGGGCUGAAGCUGAUGUGAUGAGGUUCAGCAAGACCAAAUUCCAGGUCUUGCAUUUUGGCCACAAUAACCCCAGGCAACACUACAGGCUUGGGGCAGAGUGGCUGGAAGACUGUAGAGGAAAUGGACCUGGGGGUAUUGAUUGAUGCUCAACUGAACAUGAGCCAGCAGUGUGCCCAGGUGACCAAGAAGGCCAAUGGUAUCCUGGCUUGCAUCAGAAACAGUGCUGCCAGCAGGAACAGAGGAGUAAUUAUCCCCCUGUGCUCAGCCCUGGUGAGGCCGCACCUGGAGUACUGUGUCCAGUUUUGGGCCCCUCACUGUAAGAAAGACAUCGAGGCCCUGGAGCGUGUUCAAAGAAGGGCAUCAAAGCUGGUGAAGGAUCUGGAGCACAGGCUUUAUGAGGAACAGCUGAAGGAGCUGGGAUUGUUCAGUCUGGAGAAGAGGAGGCUCAGGGGAGACCUUAUUGCUCUCUAUAACUACCUGAAGGGAGGUUGUAGUGAGCUGGGGGCCAGCCUCUUCUCUUGUGUAACUAGUGACAGGACUAGAGGGAAUGGCUUCAAGCUGCACCAGGGAGGUUCAGGCUGGACAUCAGGAAAUACUUUUUCUCUGAAAGAGUGGUGAGGCACUGGAAUGGGCUGCCAAGGGAGCUGGUGGAGUCACCUACCCUGGGGGUGUUCAAGGAACAUUUGGACAUUGUGUUGAGGGACAUGGUUUAUUGAGAACUAUUGAUGAUGGGUGGAUGGUUGGACUGGGUGAUCCUGUGGGUCUUUUCCAACCUUGAUGAUUCUAUGAUUCUGUGAAAACAAAUAGACACACACUGUAGCUAUGGUAAGAGGUGAAAGUAACAAUAAAAAUAAUUUCAUGAUAAAGUAACAUGACAUCACAAACAAACUAUGAAGGUAUCUGAAAAGUCUGUUGUCAGCAGUGCUUAGGGUACAUUGUAGGUUUCUUAUAUAUUCCUGUUCCUAUGUAAGAAAUGUCACUUAGCUUAUCUUGUCCAUCCCAUUAUAUAGCCAUGUGAAUGAAGUCAGGAGAGAAAAUACUGGUAAUAAUCACUUUCUGACUCCUUUCAUAUCACAGUCCUUUCACAGUCCUUCCACACUCCUUUCAUAUCCACCUAGCACAGAGAACUAGCAUUACUUCAAAGAGUGGGAAAUGGGGGAGGAUUAGAUGUCACUGAUGAGGUGUCAUGAUUCAGAUUAACAGGAGUACAAUUCUUUGAGGAGAGAAAGAAGCAUCUCAUUUUAGAUGAAUCAACACAAUUGUGCUAAAGAACCAAAUCAACUCUCCAGGACUCCCUUUAAGGGCAGAUGAGCAUCAUUCCUUGCACAACUGCUCUUCCAUGACAUGUCUUCCUCCUGUUUUUCUAAUGUAAAUGAUAAUAAGGUAGUAUAACAAACUACUUCUAAGUCAGAAGUGUAGCAUUUUGCAUAGAUGCUGUCUUGCUCCAAUUUAUAGGAGGGAGAGGAGGUUCUUUGAUAUAUGUACACCCAGUGUGAGAUUAAGAAACAAUGGUCCAGAUGUUGGUCCGACCAGUUUAUUACAAAUCUUAAUAAGGGAGAUGGAGAAAGGGAGGACGGACACUAUUACAGAUUGGGGUGAUGGGGAAGGGAAGGUGGGUGAUAGAAAAGAUAGAAAGAAGCAAGAAUUGUGUAAAGUGGGGAUAGUCACCACCAGGAUCCGGCAGUAUCCCAUUGCAUGACGUUCCUACGGUCCGGGGCAAAAGCAUAGGAGAAGAGCAGCAGCAGCGUGGCCGGUCUUGGGCAGCAGGAAGGUGCAGGUACUGAGUAGGUCCAGGAAGAAGUCCGGGAGGAAACAGCAGGUCUCCGGUAGCAGGCCCUGGAGAGUCUGUCAGCAUGCAGGUCUUUCAUAGUGAGGCAUCUGAUGGCAGACACCUUCUCAGGGGGGAGAGCAGUAGCAGAGGGGCCAUCCUUAGGCAGCAAGCAGGUAGAGCACAGAGCAAGUCCAGGAGAGAGAGGCAGGUCAUGAGGAAUCUGUUGUCAGAAACCUGCCUUCAUGGUUGUUGGACUCUCUUUUAUCCUUCUUCUUCCCUGCCUACAUGACAUUCCUGGGCACUUGGGUAAGGGUCAUGUGAGCAUCCCCUGAGAUGGCUGUCUCCCUUGGGAUAAGUCCACACAAAAGACUGUUUCCUGGCCAUUUAGCUGCCACUUACCUCUCUCUCAUUGCCCCUGGCCUUGUCCAUCUGUUGCCCCUUCAGACAAAGGAUUUCCUAAUCCUUGGUCAGGACAUGCUUGAACUUGUUCAUCUGUGUCCCUCAGCAAGCUUUGAGGCAAUGGUGUAAAAGAAUGACCUCUUACAGAUGCAGAUUUGCAAUAGUUUGUCCUAUACUCUACAGUAUUGAAUUAGAGUUUAAUAAGGAUCCAAACUUGUUAUAUGGAUAGAAGGAACUAUAUCACUGAAACAGGCAAAAAACAGGUAGUGCAGACCAUAACAGUAAAAAUGGAUUGAUAUCAACAUCUAAAUUCAAACUUUGCAUUCAAAAAGUCAGACCUGACCCUUCAUAGGAAAAUAUCUUCUUCAGGAGUAUCUUCAGGAAAAAAUUUCUUCACAGAAAGGGUAACCACCUGAGUAAAAAAAGAGUAAACACUGGAGUAGGCUUCCCAGGCAGGUGGCCACCCCUGGAUGUGUUUAAAGACUAUUUGGAUGUGGUACUCAGGGACAAGAUUUAGCAGUGGUUGUUAGAGUUAGGGUAGUAUGGUUAGGUUGGAGUUGCACUUGGUCUUUUCCAAUCUGAGAAAUUCUAUGAUCUUUCCAUGGCAUUCAUUGAAUGAGAAAUCAUUAGAUACAUACCAUGUAACAAGACAUAUUGUAUGAACAUCAGGGAAUACUGAACAGUAACAGGCCGAUACCAACUAGGUCAACAGCAAUAGCAACCACCUUUUAACAUGUAACCUGUUUCUCAGAAAUAGUAGAAAGAGAUUUUUUUAAGUCAUGUGUUGCAUUACUUCUGUGGGGGAAGCUCAGUAAUCUUUAGUAAUCAUUACUCAGUAAUAAUUACUCAUGAAAAGGUGUCUCUGUGAUUAAAUAACUCCACACAUAAUCACAAAAGAGUUCUUACUUCAGGAAGCUGUUGAAGAUAUUAUUAUCUCAGAUGUCCACCAUCAAACACAUUCUCAGAGGACAUUUUAAGGGCUAAUGGCAGUGCUAGAGACAGAAGGGCCUUGUUUACUGCAGCCUAUGUGAAGAGUCCCUCUUAUUAACAGAUGAAUUGACAAGAAGUCCCAAAUGUUAUCCAUCUGCUACCAUCUUUCCAACCAGCACUACAACAAGGUCUACACAUAUGGAGUAGAAACUCACCUCUCCUUUAGGGCUCACUUUCAUUAACAGGAAGAAAAAGAUAAGAAUUCCUAAACAAAACUAACAAACAACAACAACAAAUAAAAGAAAAAAAUCAAAAUAAAAGAAAUAGGAAAAUAAUAUAUUUAAACAUCAAUUUACUAAAAUGUAGGCCAAGAUCUUUCUCCAUUGUGGAGUUUCACAGCAAUUAAGAUUUCACUUGAAUCAUGACAGUCAUUUUUCCUCUUCAGUAAGUAUUUGGAUAAUAGACCACUACUUGCCUGAAAAUCUGAAAAGCCUGUGCAAGAAUCAUGAGGAAGAAAGACUUUGCAAGAUUAUUUAGCCCUCCUUAUGUAUUAAGGCAUAUGCAUCACAUCUGUAGUGCUCCUAUCAAAUGUUUUCCUCAUCUACUCCUAGGUGGAACUCUACGUCAUUUUUUUA
Long non-coding RNA from Gallus gallus (chicken), 5405 nucleotides. NCBI's taxonomy places the organism in Eukaryota, Metazoa, Chordata, Aves, Galliformes, Phasianidae. The record is from Ensembl.